This 468-nucleotide ribosomal RNA is filed under the name uncultured bacterium. RNAcentral describes it as "bacterial SSU rRNA". It matches the Rfam family "Bacterial small subunit ribosomal RNA", at positions 28 to 480 of the family's 1533-position model. The record is from RNAcentral.
GACGAACGCUGGCGGCGUGCCUAAUACAUGCAAGUCGAGCGGAACCUUUGGAGCUUGCUCCAUUGGUUUAGCGGCGGACGGGUGAGUAACACGUGGGCAACCUGCCCUGCAGAUCGGGAUAACUCCGGGAAACCGGUGCUAAUACCGAAUAGUUUGCGGCCUCUCAUGAGGCUGCACGGAAAGACGGUUUCGGCUGUCACUGCAGGAUGGGCCCGCGGCGCAUUAGCUAGUUGGUGAGGUAACGGCUCACCAAGGCCACGAUGCGUAGCCGACCUGAGAGGGUGAUCGGCCACACUGGGACUGAGACACGGCCCAGACUCCUACGGGAGGCAGCAGUAGGGAAUCUUCCGCAAUGGACGAAAGUCUGACGGAGCAACGCCGCGUGAGUGAAGAAGGUUUUCGGAUCGUAAAACUCUGUUGUGAGGGAAGAACAAGUACCAAGUAACUACUGGUACCUUGACGGUACCU